This 2396-nucleotide long non-coding RNA is filed under the name Bemisia tabaci. RNAcentral describes it as "lncRNA ENSSWEETPG009043". The record is from RNAcentral. Lineage: Eukaryota; Metazoa; Arthropoda; Insecta; Hemiptera; Aleyrodidae.
CAAAAAUGAAUCUGUUCUCACUCUCAUACUAUGAAGCAGAAUUGAUGCUUUUGGUGUGAGAAGGAUUGGUAAAUUGAAAAUAACGAAAAAUGCAUGUUUAUAAUUCAUUUUUUAAUAUAUUUUACAUUAUUUCAGACAAAAAGAAAGAAAUAUUCAUACUUGUCAAUACACAUGAAGUUUUUAACACGGACAACCUACCGAAAAAAAAGGUCAACGACUGGAUGAAUUAUUGAGAAAAGAGGACAAAAUUGUCCUGAAAUUGUUUCCAUCAAUCAAUUAACAAGUAGGUAUGAUUUUGAACUAUACAUAAAAAUAAUUAAGUCUUCAUUACUUGACAUUUUAUUUCAUUUUAAAUAUAAAUUGCAACUCAAUUUAUACACAUUGUACUUAAAUAACUAUCUUCCUUUCUUUAAUUUCAGUCAGUCUCAUGUCCUUAAUUAAACAAACUAAGUUACAUAACAAUAAAGCUAAUGCAAAUACGUACAAUAACUAUGAAAGAAAAUGAAGAAAACAAAGAGAUGAAAAUUGAAGGAGUUGUUUUCUUGUUCACAUAAAUAUUUUUUUUGUCUGUUUUUCUUUUUUUUAAAAUGAUUUUUUCAAUAAUACACAAAGGGGUUUUCAAACAUAUUUACAACAACAACAACAAAUGGUUUAACUACAGGUAUCAAUUUUUCCACUAUUUUAAAAUUUUGUUUUCAACUUAUCCUUUAUUUUUAAAAUAAAGCAAAUUGAAAAACACAAAUAAUAAAUAAUUAUAAAUAAAUUUUUUACAGGACUAUUUUUCUUAAUUAUUUCAUUAUUACAAUCAGUGCGUUUUGAUGCUCCCAUUUGAUUGAAUAAAUUUCUAGGAAAUUUACUUCAAUUAAUAUUUACAAAGAAAAAAAUGGUAAUUUUGAAUUAAUUUUUGCAAUGGACAAGAAACAGCCAAACACAAUCAUAAUUGGAGGAUAUUUUAUAUCCUCUUCGAAAGGAGGGAAGGAUAAUCAUAUUACACACAAAUAACUAUUUUAUGACUAACUGGGUUUGCACCCACAAUGAUCUUAAUUAACGACUUUCAAAUGGUUUUUUACAAGGAAAGAAAUGAACACGGAAUUUGGGAUUCCUGUUCUUCAGAUGAAAGAGAAAGUCAGAUGGCUGCAUCAAAUCCGGUAUCAUUUUAGAAAGAAAAUGUAUGUACAUGAAAGUUUAUUUUUGAAUUUCAAAUGCUGAAAAAGCAUGGAGAGAGAAUUGAAAGUAUUUGGAGACUAAUGUCAAUAGUAAUUGAACAAAAGAUUGAGGGUGCUUGAUGCAAGAUUGAGGAAAAUUUCAAAGGCAAGGAAAAUUUCGAAGAUUAUCAACUAUUCUCAGAUCAGGAGGUGGUUAUUCAAUUUUUUUUUUCAAUUACAGGAUAGUAUCGAUAGUUUUAUAUAUCAUCAUGCCAUUUGUAAUAUAAUUUUCUUCCCCUCUCCAAAUAAUCAAAAUCGAUGCAAAAAGAGACCUUCAUAUUUGGUAAUAAAUUAGGAUAAUUAAUUUUGGUGGCACACUUACUCUCACACAAACACACAUACACAAACAUACUAAACGCAACAAUUACCACAUACUUAGAAACUAAACUUUAUACAAAUAAUGUACAGUGUUGCAAAUUGGUCCUGAAAAACGUAUUUUUAAGUUAAAAAUUCAUUCUGGUUGUCUUGCCUCACUAAAGCUAUCCUUUAGUUACAAUCCAGUUGUUACUUCAUUUAUAUCAUCACUUUAGUUUUAUUGGAGAUUUUAAAUUCAAUGUACAUCUUAAAAUUAUAAAUUUUCCUACAUACGUUUUUCAAUCGAGAUCGAAAGCAACUUUAUAAAUUAUACAUAAUCAAAAUUAGUUCAUGAUUUGUACCCACUUAUUCAUUGAAUUUGAAACUGAAAAGUUCAUGUUCUUUAAACAACAGUUGACUUUCCUCGUUUUAAUUCAUUUUUAAUAUACAUGCCAUGAUGGGCUUUGUACUAUCAUACAAACACAAUUUAGAAAACGAUUACACAUGUAAAUCAAUUAUUCAUGAUACAUGAAAAAAUAAAGUAAAAGAGAUUGAUUUCAAGGGAAAUGCAGAGAAAAAUACCAAUCAACAACAAAAUCAUGAUUUAAAAUUGAUAAUAUUUUAACCAUGAAUAAAUAAAACUGAUAUGAAUGAGUUUCUGUAUUUAACUCUGCGAACUUCUAGAUAUGUCAAUACAGUGUUACUUUGAGCAUAAGUACCACAUGUAUUCUUCACAGCAAACCAAGGAAGUUAAAAGUUAUACAGAUUUAGCGCCUAGGCUUCCAUCUUUACAAUUUUGUGCGAAUUAGCAGAUGGAGGUCGAGGAGAUGACGGAGGAGUUUUCUUUGAUAAAUUUAAAGGUUGCUGAGAGUUUGCAAUUCCAACUUGCAACUCAAC